CUGACCUGCCCAAUGAGGAAUUCAAUGGCCGCAGUAUUUUAACUGUGCUAAGGUAGCAUAAUCAUUUGUCUUUUAAUUGAGGGCUGGAAUGAAAGGUUGGACGAGAUAUAGACUUUCUUUAAUUUAAUUUUAAGAAUUUAAUUUUUGAGUUAAAAAGCUUAAAUUUGUUUGUUGGACGAGAAGACCCUAUAGAUCUUUAUAAUUUUAUAUUUUAAUAAUUUGGUGGUUAUGUUUAUUAUAAGUAGAAUAAUUAUUUGGUUGGGGUGACUGUAGAAUUUUAUUAACUUCUAUUGUUUAGAUUUCAUUAAUUGGUGUUUUUUUGAUCCAUAUUUUUAUGAU
Molecule: ribosomal RNA, 339 nt
Filed under: Meccus pallidipennis
Lineage: Eukaryota; Metazoa; Arthropoda; Insecta; Hemiptera; Reduviidae
Description: partial 16S ribosomal RNA
Source: RNAcentral